RNAcentral lists this ribosomal RNA (253 nucleotides) under uncultured bacterium. RNAcentral describes it as "partial 16S ribosomal RNA". It matches the Rfam family "Bacterial small subunit ribosomal RNA", at positions 524 to 776 of the family's 1533-position model. The record is from RNAcentral.
UACGUAGGUGACCAGCGUUGUCCGGAUUUACUGGGCGUAAAGAGCGCGCAGGCGGUCGUUCAAGUCGGGUGUGAAAGCCCUCAGCUCAACUGGGGAGGGUCACGCGAUACUGAUCGACUCGAAGGCAGGAGAGGGAAGUGGAAUUCCCGGUGUAGUGGUGAAAUGCGUAGAUAUCGGGAGGAAUACCGGUGGCGAAGGCGGCAUCCUGGACCGACAUUGACGCUGAUGAGCGAAAGCUAGGGGAGCAAACGGG